UACGAAGGGGGCGAGCGUUGUUCGGAAUUACUGGGCGUAAAGCGCGUGUAGGCGGGUCUUUAAGUCAGGGGUGAAAUGCCAAGGCUCAACCUUGGAACUGCCUUUGAUACUGGAGACCUUGAGUCCGGGAGAGGUGAGUGGAAUUGCGAGUGUAGAGGUGAAAUUCGUAGAUAUUCGCAAGAACACCAGUGGCGAAGGCGGCUCACUGGCCCGGAACUGACGCUGAGACGCGAAAGCGUGGGGAGCAAACAGG
Molecule: ribosomal RNA, 253 nt
Filed under: uncultured bacterium
Lineage: Bacteria
Description: partial 16S ribosomal RNA
Rfam family: Bacterial small subunit ribosomal RNA
Source: RNAcentral